RNAcentral lists this transfer RNA (72 nucleotides) under Ovis aries (sheep). It matches the Rfam family "tRNA". From Rfam's summary of the family: Transfer RNA (tRNA) molecules are approximately 80 nucleotides in length. Their secondary structure includes four short double-helical elements and three loops (D, anti-codon, and T loops). Further hydrogen bonds mediate the characteristic L-shaped molecular structure. tRNAs have two regions of fundamental functional importance: the anti-codon, which is responsible for specific mRNA codon recognition, and the 3' end, to which the tRNAs corresponding amino acid is attached (by aminoacyl-tRNA synthetases). tRNAs cope with the degeneracy of the genetic code in two manners: having more than one tRNA (with a specific anti-codon) for a particular amino acid; and 'wobble' base-pairing, i.e. permitting non-standard base-pairing at the 3rd anti-codon position. The record is from Rfam by way of RNAcentral. Lineage: Eukaryota; Metazoa; Chordata; Mammalia; Artiodactyla; Bovidae.
UCCUUAGUGGCUCAGAUGGUUAAAGAUCUGCCUGCAGUGCAGAAGACCCAGGUUUGAUCCCUGGGUCAGGAA